CGCGGGGUUUGAACCCACAACCGUUGAGCCGAAACCUGGUGCUUAACCUGCGGAGCCACCCUGGCGCCCCGACACUCACCUAAUUCUUAAAUGCAUUCCUCUUUUGAAAAACCUCCAGCUUAAUCCUCUGUUGAAAGGAGGUGUGAGCCCGCCUCUCACCAAAAGAACCUGCUGAUUGGGAAGCAGCGCCACCUGGUGGGGGAGGAGGAGGAUGCAAGCAAAUGGACGUUCCUUCCCACUGACCUAAUUUAGAGAAAAUUGAACGUAAGACAGAAAACAUUUGCGAUUGUAAGCCUGUGAGAAACGCAGGCAGCUGGCCAUAAAGGUAUCUUGAACAGUC
Molecule: long non-coding RNA, 340 nt
Organism: Suricata suricatta (meerkat)
Lineage: Eukaryota; Metazoa; Chordata; Mammalia; Carnivora; Herpestidae
Exons: 2
Source: RefSeq, a predicted model, not a curated record